RNAcentral lists this ribosomal RNA (40 nucleotides) under Aerides maculosa. RNAcentral's name for it is "partial 26S ribosomal RNA". Lineage: Eukaryota; Viridiplantae; Streptophyta; Magnoliopsida; Asparagales; Orchidaceae. The record is from RNAcentral.
GCGACCCCAGGAUGGGCGGGACCACCCGCCGAGUUAAGCU